GUCAUCCAAUGACAUCAUCCAUCAUCCUGCAGGAAGUGAAAUCAUUCUGGAGGGGAAUCGACAUCGAUCAUCGAUCGAUCAGCUGGAGAUCAGGAUCCAGAAGGACGUGGAGAUCUGCGGCGCACGGAGCAGGUAUUCGGCCCUCGGCGCGCCAGUGGAAAAACUGAGCUGUUGGAUGUGAAUCUCAGAGAUAGUGGCUGCAGUCAGACGACAGUGAGGUAAUGACAGAGAGCAGAAAAACAUCUGUCCGCAGAGAGCUGUGGAGAAUACCUGAUUCUAAAUUGGUCGAGCGUGACAAUCGGUCGUUCUGAAUAACGUCACCGGAUAACCAAUUGCUUCACCUGAUAGAUGAUUAAAAACAACCCUAGGUUAGGUGUAGAAACUAUAAAAAUAGAAACUAUUUUCACUCAGAAAUGACCAGUAAUUGGAGCAAUUCAUUUAAAAAUAACACAUAAUGCAGACUAAACUUAAAUGUAGAAUUAUUAUUAUUUAUUUCCUCCAUCUUGCAAAUGCUGAUACGCCCUUUGAAAAAUGCAGAUCUAGUUUCCAUAACUACAGUCUGUACACUGUAAAAACAUUCUGUAACAUUUACAGUAAAAAACUGGCAGCUGUGGUUGCCAGAAUUUUACCAUGAAAAAUAUGUUGGCAGUAUAUUAGGUUUUUUCGAUUUAACUUAAAUUACAUUUAAAUACCGUAAUUUCAUUAACAGAUAUAAUAUACAGUUCCAAUCUAUGGAAAUACUGAAAUCUGUUUUAUAUCCUUUUAAUACACUGAUAACCACAUAAAGCAGAUGGUGAUGAGAAAGUCACAUGAUCAUCACAAGCAGCUUUUACAUACUAACAUAAUGCAUAUGGAACGUGCACAGUGUCAUUCACACAAACACUAAAACCAUCAUGGUAACACACAUGAAAUUAAAAUAAUGCAAUAAACAUUAUUUAACAAGAUUAGAUGUAACAUACAACCCUAAUAUAUACAACUGAUACGACAAAACUAAGAAGAAACAGUUAUUUCAACUCAAAAAAACAUGAAAUGUAACACAGAGAAUUCUGAAUAAGUUUUAAAUUAUAUGUGACCCUGGAGCGCAAAACCAGUGUUAAGUAUCACUGGUAUAUUUGUAGAAAUAGUCAACAAUACAUUGUAUGAGUCAAAAUUAUUGAUUUUUUUUUAUGCCAAAAAUCAUUGGGAUAUUAAGUAAAGAUCAUGUUCCAUAAAGAUGUUUUGUAAAAUUCCUACUGUAAAUAUAUCAAAACUUAAUUUUUUAUUAGUAAUAUGCAUUGUUAAAAAUGCACCCUCAGAUUCCAUAUAUUGAAAUAGUUGUAUCUCGACCAAAUAUUGUCCUAUCAUAACAAACCACACAUCAAUGAAAAGCUUAUUUAUUCAGCUUUUAGAUGAUGUGUAAAUGUCUAUUUUGAAAAAUGGACCCUUAUGACUGGUUUUGUGGUCCAUGGUCACAUAUGUUCUUUUUCA
Labeo rohita (rohu) is the source of this 1467-nucleotide long non-coding RNA. RefSeq lists it as uncharacterized. The transcript is spliced from 3 exons. Lineage: Eukaryota; Metazoa; Chordata; Actinopteri; Cypriniformes; Cyprinidae. The record is from RefSeq and is a predicted model, not a curated record.